UAGUACUACACUGCGUGAGCGGAACGAAAACAACAACACCUAAAAUGUGGAAUAUAGCAUAUAGUCGACAAGAGAAAUCUACGAAAAACAAACAAAACUUUCAACAACGGAUCUCUUGGUUCUCGCAUCGAUGAAGAGCGCAGCGAAAUGCGAUACCUAGUGUGAAUUGCAGCCAUCGUGAAUCAUCGAGUUCUUGAACGCACAUUGCGCCCCUCGGCAUUCCGGGGGGCAUGCCUGUUUGAGCGUCGUUUCCAUCUUGCGCGUGCGCAGAGUUGGGGGAGCGGAGCGGACGACGUGUAAAGAGCGUCGGAGCUGCGACUCGCCUGAAAGGGAGCGAAGCUGGCCGAGCGAACUAGACUUUUUUUCAGGGACGCUUGGCGGCCGAGAGCGAGUGUUGCGAGACAACAAAAAGCUCGACCUCAAAUCAGGUAGGAAUACCCGCUGAACUUAAGCAUAUCAA
Molecule: ribosomal RNA, 460 nt
Filed under: Pichia kudriavzevii
Lineage: Eukaryota; Fungi; Ascomycota; Pichiomycetes; Pichiales; Pichiaceae
Description: eukaryotic LSU rRNA
Rfam family: 5.8S ribosomal RNA (bases 96-248)
Source: RNAcentral